Molecule: long non-coding RNA, 861 nt
Filed under: Apis mellifera (honey bee)
Lineage: Eukaryota; Metazoa; Arthropoda; Insecta; Hymenoptera; Apidae
Description: uncharacterized LOC102656327, transcript variant X1
Source: RNAcentral
AAAAAAAAAUAUAUAUAUAUAGUAAAUAUUGAUAACUUAAAUCUUUACUGUUGUUUCAUUUUUCUUUUUAAAUAUGUACACAAUAAUAAUUCAAAAUAUGUAUAAAUAGUGACAAUAAAUAAGAAUGUAAUAAUGUAUUAUUAAAUAAUUACUUAUCUAAUUACUUCACGAUUGAUUCGAUUUAAAAAAAAAAUGCACGAAAACAAAUUCAAUUUAAUAUGAAAUGCAUGAUUAAAUAAAGCUUUACCGACGAAAGAAACAUUUUUGCUAUGCCAACAAAAGAAAUUCUAUACCUGAGUCGGUAGCACGUAAAGUAAGGACGCACAUUACUGUAAAAGGAUUUCAGAUACAUACAUAGAGAGAACGUUUUAUUACAGUUUUCAUCCGCAGAUUAGCCCCUUUGGAACCAUCGAUACUCAAUUCAGAACUUUAUUGCCCUCCAUAAAAGUAUCUAUUUGGUGUUUUCGGCUGGACCGACUGGACCGAGCAAUUCGAACAAAAAGGGUCCAAUUACGUACGGAUUGCCGACCGGCAUCGAACGCACACACAAUUCCAAAGACGUUGCGCAUCCCUUUCUUUUCCUUUUUAUCUUGAUUUCUAUCGUUCAUCGUGAAACAUGCCUAAAUAUAAUACAUGUUGCUCUUAAGGUUAUAUUUGUAUGUGUGAAAAAGCAUUUUUUGACUUCGUUGUGAACUUUAUUCUUGAAUACGUUGAGAUUUUUAGUUUAUACCAUUUUAGACGAUUUUGUCAGUUCUACGUCGUAAAUCGUAGCUAGGAGGAAAAAAGGUUGGAAAUCAAAUUUUUAUUGUUCAGACUAGAUAUAUGUACUAUCAACUGAAAAUCACUAUCUUUUCCUAUUUA